AACGAACGCUGGCGGCAUGCCUAACACAUGCAAGUCGAACGAGACCUUCGGGUCUAGUUGCGCACGGGUGCGUAACGCGUGGGAACCUGCCCUUAUGUUCGGAAUAACUCCCCGCAAGGGGUGCUAAUACCGGUUAAUGUCUUCGGACCAAAGAUUUAUCGCCUUUGGAUGGGCCCGCGUUGGAUUAGCUAGUUGGUAGGGUAAAAGCCUACCAAGGCGACGAUCCAUAGAUGGUCUGAGAGGAUGAUCAGCCACACUGGGACUGAGACACGGCCCAGACUGCGACGGGAGGCAGCAGUGGGGAAUAUUGGACAAUGGGCGAAAGCCUGAUCCAGCAAUGCCGCGUGAGUGAUGAAGGCCUUAGGGUUGUAAAGCUCUUUUACACGGGAUGAUAAUGACAGUACCGGGAGAAUAAGCUCCGGCUAACUCCGUG
This 433-nucleotide ribosomal RNA is filed under the name uncultured bacterium. Its description in RNAcentral is "partial 16S ribosomal RNA". It matches the Rfam family "Bacterial small subunit ribosomal RNA", at positions 29 to 507 of the family's 1533-position model. The record is from RNAcentral.